UUUGGACUCUGCCAGUGAGCAACAACUGGCCAACGUGGGUCCGGCCAAACUAAAGACUCGGAGAAGAGAACACACUACUUGGACUGUGGACUACUGGAGUAUUAUUGGAUGCAGAUGAACGCAAAGCAUCCAGGCCUUUUCUUUCUUCUUCCUGGUGUUUACUGGUCAGUCUGCCCAGUCCACUUCGUUUCUUUGCUUCCCUUUUUUGUGGCUUCAGGGAGAUGUUGCUGCCCUGUUGCUGAAAGCAAAAGCAAAGGUACCUAACUGGAAUAAGCUCUCUCCAACCAAGCAUCUGAACUUAUAUACCUAUACAUAUAUUCUCUAGAUUGUGAUAUACACCUGACUUGUACUUAGUUGCAUCAUUGCAUGCCAAGAAUUUUGUUCUAUUUUCCCCCCUUGUUUCCUGUGACUCUUGGUUGGAUUUGGGAGAAAGGUGGACUUUACGUUUUGUGGAGGGAACACUAACCUGGUGAGAAUAACUCGUGCAAUGUGUGCAAUUAAUUAGUCACAAAAGCUUUUAUGAUCUGUUGAAACAAUAUGUAUAUGUCCAGAUAAUUUGGGGUUCCAACUUAUAAGAAAAACUGUUCCAUUCCACUAGCUCAGUUUCUGCGUGUUGCAACCAUUUUGAAGGGCAAGUGGUUCAGCUUAUAUGUGGUACUUUGGUAGGUCCAUUUCGGGCUUAUAACAAACAAUAAAAGUUGGCACAAAUGACGCAAGCAGCACUAGAGAUUAUCUUAGGAAAAAGAAGAAAUAUCCUUUGGUCUAAAAAAUUGUUCAAAGAUCCUGGAAAAGUGUAGUGAACAUUUGUAAAGAAAAGGAAAGAAAAAAAAAGGAUAAUCACAAGCCUUCCGCCCUGAUGCGCAGGCAACUAACAAGUCUCUAACAUCUACUAAUCUGCCACCUGUCUGCAUCUGAUUUCUCUGUUCAUUAUCUCAGGUGGAAGGUGAUGAACAGGUCAGGAAACUAUUUAAGCCAGUGAUUGCUUCACUUAUUAUUACAGAGCAACGACUUGUUCUUCUGAACACAUAUUUGUCGGAGUUAAAGAGGGCCCGGGGUAUAUACGACGCAUAUAUACCGCAUUUGAUAAAACUCCAGGUCCGAGCAAUACGUGGUCGCUCGUGUAUCUUGUAGAAAAAAUAGGUGGUACGCCCUGUUGCUAGCUGCUGCCGUGUUGUUUUCCUGAGUUUAUGUGUGCCCCAAACGUCUCCUUUGUUUGCUGUUCGCUCAAUCAGCCGUCCAUCUGUCUACGUGUUCCAGUGGCUUUUUUUCUACGGUAAUGUGUGCUUGGAUUGUUGCUGCUGCUGCUUGACGACAAGGGAGCAUGGGAUCGAUGUGAUUUUAUGUUGCAGUCGUGUUCCUCUUGUAGUCGUAACCUAACCGGUGAAAGCCAAAGGUAUAGCUGUGAAUAUUGAGUUAAUUUCUCUUUGGGUUGUCUUUUAUUACCGAUAUUUUGUUUUGGAUUAACUUUUAACAAACGUAUUUAUUUUGGAUUGGAUAAUUUUACCUUUACUUUACUUUAGACUACCUGACUCUCUUAUCAAGCAUAUGAACAAUUUCGAGUACGACGACUUUUGCUUGUCAAUGAACCUUACAUAGACUAAAAAUAGUUAAAUUAUACGUAGACUAUUGCUUUGAUAUGACAAGUAGAUACAAAUGGAUAAAAAUAGUUUAGGGUGGUCUAAAAUGCCACAAAGUUAAAUUUACUUAGUUCAAAAUAAAAAUAUUUCUUAAAGUGUGGUCUAAACCAAAACAGUAAUGAAAGUGACCCAAAAUGAAAUUUACUUGUGAAG
RNAcentral lists this long non-coding RNA (1790 nucleotides) under Oryza sativa (Asian cultivated rice). Its description in RNAcentral is "long non-coding RNA (OSAT_LNC001092)". Lineage: Eukaryota; Viridiplantae; Streptophyta; Magnoliopsida; Poales; Poaceae. The record is from RNAcentral.